This 159-nucleotide non-coding RNA is filed under the name Rhizobium sp. 63-7. RNAcentral describes it as "6S RNA". It matches the Rfam family "6S / SsrS RNA". Rfam says of the family: E. coli 6S RNA was the first non coding RNA to be sequenced, but its function was unknown until recently. It consists of 184 nucleotides that fold into an extended hairpin structure with a large single-stranded internal bulge. The 6S RNA specifically associates with RNA polymerase holoenzyme containing the sigma70 specificity factor. The record is from RNAcentral. Lineage: Bacteria; Pseudomonadati; Pseudomonadota; Alphaproteobacteria; Hyphomicrobiales; Rhizobiaceae. RNAcentral also lists the same sequence under 2 other names.
UGCGAUCUGUGCUUCUCGACAGGAACCACAUUCCUCGGGGCCAUACUCGAUCUAACGGGAGCUGUCCCUGACCAGGCCUGUGGGCUUGGUCACAUGGCGCCCACCUACUUUUGUAGGCGCCCAGGAUCGUAAACAUCCAUCGGAUGCCACGGAUCGCAC